RNAcentral lists this ribosomal RNA (468 nucleotides) under uncultured bacterium. RNAcentral's name for it is "partial 16S ribosomal RNA". It matches the Rfam family "Bacterial small subunit ribosomal RNA", at positions 28 to 507 of the family's 1533-position model. The record is from RNAcentral.
GACGAACGCUGGCGGCGUGCUUAACACAUGCAAGUCGAACGGAAAGGCCCUGCUUUUGUGGGGUGCUCGAGUGGCGAACGGGUGAGUAACACGUGAGUAACCUGCCCUUGACUUUGGGAUAACUUCAGGAAGCUGGGGCUAAUACCGGAUAGGAGCUCCUGCUGCAUGGUGGGGGUUGGAAAGUUUCGGCGGUUGGGGGUGGACUCGCGGCUUAUCAGCUUGUUGGUGGGGUAGUGGCUUACCAAGGCUUUGACGGGUAGCCGGCCUGAGAGGGUGACCGGCCACAUUGGGACUGAGAUACGGCCCAGACUCCUACGGGAGGCAGCAGUGGGGAAUAUUGCACAAUGGGCGGAAGCCUGAUGCAGCAACGCCGCGUGCGGGAUGACGGCCUUCGGGUUGUAAACCGCUUUCGCCUGUGACGAAGCGUGAGUGACGGUAAUGGGUAAAGAAGCACCGGCUAACUACGUG